Molecule: ribosomal RNA, 416 nt
Filed under: uncultured Synechococcus sp.
Lineage: Bacteria; Bacillati; Cyanobacteriota; Cyanophyceae; Synechococcales; Synechococcaceae
Description: bacterial SSU rRNA
Rfam family: Bacterial small subunit ribosomal RNA
Source: RNAcentral
AUGAACGCUGGCGGCGUGCUUAACACAUGCAAGUCGAACGAACCUUCGGGUUAGUGGCGGACGGGUGAGUAACGCGUGAGAAUCUGCCCUCAGGAGGGGGAUAACGGCUGGAAACGGCCGCUAAUACCCCAUAUGCCGAGAGGUGAAAUGAAUUUCGCCUGAGGAUGAGCUCGCGUCUGAUUAGCUAGUUGGUGGGGUAAGAGCCUACCAAGGCUUCGAUCAGUAGCUGGUCUGAGAGGAUGAUCAGCCACACUGGGACUGAGACACGGCCCAGACUCCUACGGGAGGCAGCAGUGGGGAAUUUUCCGCAAUGGGCGAAAGCCUGACGGAGCAACGCCGCGUGAGGGAUGAAGGCCUCUGGGCUGUAAACCUCUUUUCUCAAGGAAGAAGACCUGACGGUACUUGAGGAAUAAGCC